Molecule: ribosomal RNA, 300 nt
Filed under: uncultured Haloferax sp.
Lineage: Archaea; Methanobacteriati; Methanobacteriota; Halobacteria; Halobacteriales; Haloferacaceae
Description: bacterial SSU rRNA
Rfam family: Bacterial small subunit ribosomal RNA (bases 52-300)
Source: RNAcentral
AGGAAGAGCGGCCGAGAAGCCUGGGGAAAACGGUGGUGGAGACAGUUGUGAGGAAUUACGGGGAGUAAAGCGCAAGUAGGCGUAACGGAAAGUUGGAGGUGAGAUCCCAGGACUCAAUCGUGGAACUGCAUUCAAAACGAUCGGGCUGUAGUUCGAGAUAGGUGAGUGGAAGUCCGAGUGUAGAGGGGAAAUUCGUAGAUAUUCGGAGGAACACCAGUGGCGAAGGCGGCUCACAGGCUCGAUACUGACGCUGAGGUGCGAAAGCGUGGGGAGCAAACAGGAUUAGAUACCCCAGUAGUC